Molecule: ribosomal RNA, 1542 nt
Filed under: Yamadaella grassyi
Lineage: Eukaryota; Rhodophyta; Florideophyceae; Nemaliales; Liagoraceae
Description: eukaryotic LSU rRNA
Rfam family: Eukaryotic large subunit ribosomal RNA
Source: RNAcentral
AGUAGCGGCGAGCGAAGCGGGAAAAGCCCGGUGUGUAAAUCUCUUCGGAGAGUUGUAUUUGAGUGUCCUUGGGUGGUCAGUGCGAGCAAGUUGCUUGGGAUAGCACGCCAUGGAGGGUGAGAGCCCCGUCCAUCUCGCACAGGAUCCAUCCGCACAAGGGCGCUUCAACCGAGUCGGGUAGCUUGGGAAUGCUGCUCUAAUUGGUGGUAAAUCUCAUCAAAGGCUAAAUAACGGUGGGAGACCGAUAGCGAACAAGUACCGUGAGGGAAAGAUGGAAAGAACUUUGAAAAGAGAGUGAAAAGAACUUGAAACCGUCACGGGGGAAGCGGAUUGCGUGAGUGGUGGUGUCACUUGUUCAGCGCUCUUUUGCGUGUAUUCUGGUGGCACCUUGUCGUCGUGGCUGGCUGGUUGCGUGAUUUUGACGCACCGGCUGGUGAGGGCUCCCUAUGGUGAGGACGACGACAAAAUGACGCAAUACGACCCGUCUUGAAACACGGACCAAGGAGUCUAGCACGGCUGCGAGUCGAAGGGUGUAAAACCCAAGGGCGCAGUGAAAGCGAAAUUAUAAGCAAAUUGGGGAGGCGUUGCGUUUUUAACAAAAUGUCCUACCUUGAGCAUUUGUGCUGGGACCCGAAAGAUGGUGAACUAUGCCGGAGUAGGGCAAAGCCAGAGGAAACUCUGGUGGAGGCUCGUAGCGAUGCUGACGUGCAAAUCGCUCGUCGAACUUGGGUAUAGGGGCGAAAGACUAAUCGAACUAUCUAGUAGCUGGUUCCCUCCGAAGUUUCUCUCAGGAUAGCGGGCCGACAUUUUGUUGUUUUGUGCGGUAAAGCGAAUGAUUAGUGCAUUUGGGGUCUGAUAGACUUCGGGCGAUUCUCAAACUUUAAAUGCGCAAGGGGGUGGCUGCUUAAUUGAGCCUACUCUUCGAAAAACGUCGGCCCUGUGGGCCACUUUUGGUAAGCAGAACUGGCGAUAAGGGAUGAACCUUAAGCGCGGUUAAGGCGCCGCAUUGCCCGCUUAUAGACCCCACAAAAGGUGUUGAUUCAUUUAGACAGCAGGACGGUGGCCAUGGAAGUCGGAAUCCGCUAAGGAGUGUGUAACAACUCACCUGCCGAAUGAAUUAGCCCUGAAAAUGGAUGGCGCUGAAGCGGGCAGCCGACACCGCGCCGUUCCGGCGAGACGAUGCCGGGAUGAGUAGGAGGGCGUGGCGGUCAGUGACGCAGGCGAGGGUGCAGACCCCGCUGAAACGGCCGCUAGUGCAGAUCUUGGUGGUAGUAGCAAAUAUUCAAGCGAGAUCCUUGAAGGGCGAAGCGGGGAAGGGUUCCACGCAAACAUUGAUUGGGCGUGGGUGAGUCGUUCCUAAGCCGAGUGGCAAUUGCUAAGUAGCGGCGAAAGGGAAGCGGGUUAAAAUUCCCGCACACAGAUAUGGAGGCGGCGACGCAAGCAGAGGCAAAUACGCUGGCGAGGGCGCUGGGCAGAGUUGUCUUUUCUGUUUGACCGGCAUCGUGCUGUGUGGAAUCCGCUUAUCGGGAGAAACACGCACGG